RNAcentral lists this ribosomal RNA (492 nucleotides) under uncultured bacterium. RNAcentral's name for it is "partial 16S ribosomal RNA". It matches the Rfam family "Bacterial small subunit ribosomal RNA", at positions 29 to 507 of the family's 1533-position model. The record is from RNAcentral.
AGUGAACGCUGGCGUUAGGCCUAACACAUGCAAGUCGAACGGCAGCACAGUAAGAGCUUGCUCUUACGGGUGGCGAGUGGCGGACGGGUGAGGAAUACAUCGGAAUCUACUUUUUCGUGGGGGAUAACGUAGGGAAACUUACGCUAAUACCGCAUACGACCUACGGGUGAAAGCAGGGGAUCUUCGGACCUUGCGCGAUUGAAUGAGCCGAUGUCGGAUUAGCUAGUUGGCGGGGUAAAGGCCCACCAGGGCGACGAUCCGUAGCUGGUCUGAGAGGAUGAUCAGCCACACUGGAACUGAGACACGGUCCAGACUCCUACGGGAGGCAGCAGUGGGGAAUAUUGGACAAUGGGCGCAAGCCUGAUCCAGCCAUACCGCGUGGGUGAAGAAGGCCUUCGGGUUGUAAAGCCCUUUUGUUGGGAAAGAAAAGCAGCAGGUUAAUACCCCGCUGUUCUGACGGUACCCAAAGAAUAAGCACCGGCUAACUUCGUG